Molecule: long non-coding RNA, 343 nt
Organism: Esox lucius (northern pike)
Lineage: Eukaryota; Metazoa; Chordata; Actinopteri; Esociformes; Esocidae
Exons: 3
Source: RefSeq, a predicted model, not a curated record
UGGAAUUAGUUGGGUUCCCACCAAAAUAAAAACAAACUUGUUGACAGCCGGUCAAUUUCAAAAUUAUCCCAACCAAGAACACUACUUAAAUUCACCAAAUUUGUCUUUUGCGGCUCAUGUGGGAAACAUUUUCAGUUUUUGGCUGACGCUGAAGACGACGACAUGGCUCUCCCUGUAAGGUGCUGGUACAGUGUCUUGGUGAGGAAUCAAGGACCGGGACCACCAUAAACCAUACAGACUGCAAUCAUCCUCCCAGCAAGGAAGUAUUCAUCAUCUUUUGCCGCUGUAAUGAAUGGAUAGUUUUCUCCAAUUAAUAAACAUUUUAAAUCACUUUUACCCUCUC